UACGAAGGGGGCAAGCGUUGUCCGGAAUUAUUGGGCGUAAAGAGCGUGUAGGCGGUCCGGUAAGUCAGCUGUGAAAGUCAAGGGCUCAACCCUUGAAAGCCGGUUGAUACUGUCGGGCUAGAGUCCGGAAGAGGCGAGUGGAAUUCCCGGUGUAGCGGUGAAAUGCGCAGAUAUCGGGAGGAACACCAAUGGCGAAGGCAGCUCGCUGGGACGGUACUGACGCUGAGACGCGAAAGCGUGGGGAGCAAACAGG
Molecule: ribosomal RNA, 253 nt
Filed under: uncultured bacterium
Lineage: Bacteria
Description: partial 16S ribosomal RNA
Rfam family: Bacterial small subunit ribosomal RNA
Source: RNAcentral